AUGUCUCCCUGCAGGCUUGUGACGAUGUUCAGUUCAAUUGGCUGUGCUGCUCUGAACACAUCUGAGCUGGUUUCUUCAUCCACACAUCUGGCCAAUGUACAAGCGUCCUGGACUGAAUGUGAGAACACCAGGCUGCUGCCUUUCCCAGCCUCCCGGCCCUGGAGAGCGGCGUGGACACUCCUAAUGUGGGAAUAUCCAGGAGGGGACACAGGACACAAUCCAAGCCAACCGGUUAAUGUUCUUGUUGACGUCACUGAAGUGGAACGAGUUAAAGGACGUUCCCGACUGACUCCUCCGAAGCUGUGAUCUGCCGUGCCAGAUGCUAAUUCCACCAUAGUGUGAGUCAGUUCACGUAAACGCACUCAUGGAAGGAAAGAAUGAGGGAUCUGUCAUGUGAUGCGACCACAUUAAGCCUGAAGCACAUGUAUUUCUGAGAGAAUACAGUAUAUUUAAUUCAAAAGUUCAACUUUUAUCAAGUUUUCUGUUAGCCCACUGUAAAAAUCUAGACAUAAUAGAACCCUCUCCACCGAAUGAUGCAAGAUCUCACACAGACCAUACAUCAUCACGCCAUUUCUGUCAGUUUCUAACAGCCUAUGAACUUAUCUGUCAUCUUUAAACUAAAAUACAGGAUCUUUACAGGAGUUUAAAUGAUCACACUCCUUUAAAUGAGAGCGCUGUCUGAUGACUUGUAAUCUUGUCUUCUGCGAUCUGAUUUGGAGUAAGAUCAUGGUGCUUUUAACUUGACCGAGAAUCUGAUGAGUGCAAAGCAUGUUCAGAUGAUUCAUUAUGGAAAAUGUCAAAGCGGCUAGUACUAUUUGUCCUCCCUCGUCUCUUUAUCUUGCUCUGCUCAUGCCAUACUUGUUCAAGAGUCUGACAGGGCUGAUUUUUUUUGGUACUAGUCACUAUUUUUGUGUGCAUUUCUUUUCUAUAAAUAGCCAGAUGUGGGCAGCUUAGGUGGAGACCAUGAUGUGAGCGAUGAGAACAUAAAUGUCAGCUCUCACCACUGUUCACUGCCCACCGCGACACAGACUGGCAGUUUAGACCGCUGCCGUGCAUUGUGAGCAUUCACUUUUGAAAAGUCAGCAGCAGUGUAACCAUACAAUAGAUUUUCUAUUUCCUUAUAAGUUCCUAACCAACAGUUUAUCUUAUGUAAUAAAUUUGUAAAUGUAUCUUACUUUAUGUGUUUAGAUAUGUGUAAAUAAAUAUUAGUUUAAUAUCAAUUAAUAUCAUAUUGAUAUCAUCAUUUUAUUUUUAUUAAAUAUUUAAGAGAGAGAAAGAGUGUGUGUGUGUGUGUGUGUGUGUAUGUGUGUGUGUGUGUGUGUGUGUGUGUGUGUGUGUGUGUGUGUGUAUAUAUAUAUAUAUAUAUAUAUAUAUAUUGGAUCUGAAUAUCUAAACAUUCUCAAAGCAAGAUACAUUUAAGUGUACGAUAAUAAGACUUGCUCAUCUGAGAAUAAAUUACAAAUUAAUUAUUAUUUUUAAUAAAAUAUUUUUUUAGCUUUUUUAAAAAUUUUUAAACCAUUUAGCUUAUUUUAUGUUAGUGCUGUAAGAUUUCUUCACUGAUUUAAAGAAAAAAAAAAAAACAAAGAUAACAGAGCUCCUCAGAGACAUAAACCCUAUAGAAUAUGUUCCUCACAUGUCAAGUUAAUGUAUAAAGGAAGUGCAGUCAGCACACGGGCCAAUAAAUCAGAUCAAGAUCAAAUGUUAUGGCAUGAGAGUUUAACAGGAAGGAAGCUCAAACAGGCUGCCAUACUCCUAAACAGGACUAGCUUUUUUCUUCACACUGCUUACUUUUGGCAUAUCAUGCAAAAGUCGGGUUCUAGAAGUAAAAACCCAACUGAUUUUCUACAUUAAAUAAGCUUUAGAAGUAAUGAAUAGCCUAAACCAUUCAAAAUAAAUCUACUGUACACUC
Long non-coding RNA from Cyprinus carpio carpio, 1909 nucleotides. The record is from Ensembl. Lineage: Eukaryota; Metazoa; Chordata; Actinopteri; Cypriniformes; Cyprinidae.